UAGGGAAUCUUCCGCAAUGGACGCAAGUCUGACGGAGCAACGCCGCGUGAGUGAAGAAGGAUUUCGGUUCGUAAAACUCUGUUGUUAGAGAAGAACAGCGCAUAGAGUAACUGUUAUGCGUGUGACGAUAUCUAACCAGAAAGCCACGGCUAACUACGUGCCAGCAGCCGCGGUAAUACGUAGGUGGCAAGCGUUGUCCGGAUUUAUUGGGCGUAAAGCGAGCGCAGGCGGUCAAUUAAGUCUGAUGUGAAAGCCCCCGGCUCAACCGGGGAGGGUCAUUGGAAACUGGUUGACUUGAGUGCAGAAGAGGAGAGUGGAAUUCCAUGUGUAGCGGUGAAAUGCGUAGAUAUAUGGAGGAACACCAGUGGCGAAGGCGACUCUCUGGUCUGUAACUGACGCUGAGGCUCGAAAGCGUGGGUAGCAAACAGG
This 429-nucleotide ribosomal RNA is filed under the name Bacteroidota bacterium. RNAcentral's name for it is "Bacteroidetes bacterium partial 16S ribosomal RNA". It matches the Rfam family "Bacterial small subunit ribosomal RNA", at positions 355 to 776 of the family's 1533-position model. Lineage: Bacteria; Pseudomonadati; Bacteroidota. The record is from RNAcentral.